RNAcentral lists this unclassified non-coding RNA (240 nucleotides) under soil metagenome. RNAcentral's name for it is "partial contains 5.8S ribosomal RNA, internal transcribed spacer 2, and large subunit ribosomal RNA". The record is from RNAcentral.
AACAUCGCGCACCUGCGGGAACCUGCGGAAGGAUCAUUACUGAGUGUAAAAACUCCCAAACCCAUUGUGAACAUACCACUGUUGCUUCGGCGGAUACGCCCCGGGCGCGCUCUUCACAGGGCGUGCCCCGGAACCAGGCGCCCGCCGGGGGACCGAAACUCUUGUUUUCUUAGGAUCUCUGAGUGUGAUUAUUAAAUAAAUCAAAACUUUUAACAAUGGAUCUCAGAUCGGAAGAGCACA